AUUGAACGCUGGCGGCAGGCCUAACACAUGCAAGUCGAGCGGAUGAAGGGAGCUUGCUCCUGGAUUCAGCGGCGGACGGGUGAGUAAUGCCUAGGAAUCUGCCUGGUAGUGGGGGAUAACGUCCGGAAACGGGCGCUAAUACCGCAUACGUCCUGAGGGAGAAAGUGGGGGAUCUUCGGACCUCACGCUAUCAGAUGAGCCUAGGUCGGAUUAGCUAGUUGGUGGGGUAAAGGCCUACCAAGGCGACGAUCCGUAACUGGUCUGAGAGGAUGAUCAGUCACACUGGAACUGAGAAACGGUCCAGACUCCUACGGGAGGCAGCAGUGGGGAAUAUUGGACCAUGGGCGAAAGCCUGAUCCAGCCAUGCCGCGUGGGUGAAGAAGGGUUUCGGAUUUUAAAGCACUUUAAGUUGGGAGGAAGGGCAGUAAGUUAAUACCUUGCUGUUUUGACGUUACCAACAGAAUAAGCACCGGCUAACUUCGUG
This 484-nucleotide ribosomal RNA is filed under the name uncultured bacterium. RNAcentral's name for it is "partial 16S ribosomal RNA". It matches the Rfam family "Bacterial small subunit ribosomal RNA", at positions 30 to 507 of the family's 1533-position model. The record is from RNAcentral.